UGGGGAAUAUUGCACAAUGGAGGAAACUCUGAUGCAGCGACGCCGCGUGAGUGAAGAAGUAAUUCGUUAUGUAAAGCUCUAUCAGCAGGGAAGAUAGUGACGGUACCUGACUAAGAAGCUCCGGCUAAAUACGUGCCAGCAGCCGCGGUAAUACGUAUGGAGCAAGCGUUAUCCGGAUUUACUGGGUGUAAAGGGAGUGUAGGUGGCCAUACAAGUCAGAAGUGAAAGCCCGGGGCUCAACCCCGGGACUGCUUUUGAAACUGUAAGGCUUGAGUGCAGGAGGGGUGAGUGGAAUUCCUAGUGUAGCGGUGAAAUGCGUAGAUAUUAGGAGGAACACCAGUGGCGAAGGCGGCUCACUGGACUGUAACUGACACUGAGGCUCGAAAGCGUGGGGAGCAAACAGG
This 404-nucleotide ribosomal RNA is filed under the name uncultured bacterium. Its description in RNAcentral is "bacterial SSU rRNA". It matches the Rfam family "Bacterial small subunit ribosomal RNA", at positions 355 to 776 of the family's 1533-position model. The record is from RNAcentral.